Molecule: ribosomal RNA, 253 nt
Filed under: uncultured bacterium
Lineage: Bacteria
Description: partial 16S ribosomal RNA
Rfam family: Bacterial small subunit ribosomal RNA
Source: RNAcentral
UACGGAGGGUGCAAGCGUUAUCCGGAUUCACUGGGUUUAAAGGGUGCGUAGGUGGCUUUGUAAGUCAGUGGUGAAAUCUUAGAGCUUAACUCUAAAACUGCCAUUGAUACUGCUUAGCUUGAAUCAAGUCGAGGUGGAUGGAAUAUUACAUGUAGCGGUGAAAUGCUUAGAUAUGUAAUAGAACACCGAUUGCGAAGGCAGUUCACUAGGCUUGUAUUGACACUGAGGCACGAAAGCGUGGGGAUCAAACAGG